RNAcentral lists this ribosomal RNA (304 nucleotides) under uncultured bacterium. Its description in RNAcentral is "bacterial SSU rRNA". It matches the Rfam family "Bacterial small subunit ribosomal RNA", at positions 29 to 333 of the family's 1533-position model. The record is from RNAcentral.
AUUGAACGCUGGCGGCAUGCCUUACACAUGCAAGUCGAGCGCGAAAGGGGGGCAACCCCGAGUAGAGCGGCGGACGGGUGAGUAACGCAUCGGAACGUGCCCAGUAGGUGGGGGACAACCUCGAGAAAUCGAGGCUAAUACCGCAUACGACCCACGGGUGAAAGCGAGGGGACCGCAAGGCCUCGCGCUAUUGGAGCGGCCGAUGUCCGAUUAGCUAGUUGGGCGGGGUAAGAGCCCACCAAGGCGACGAUCGGUAGCUGGUCUGAGAGGACGACCAGCCACACUGGGACUGAGACACGGCCCA